AGCAGUCAUUACAAUCCUAUGAAUGCACAGAAGUUAACAGAUUUCAUAAUCACCUACGCUUCAAGAAACGAAAGCAAACCAGAAAAAUAACUGAUGCACUUCAAGAGAUUUUCCAAGGUGCAGAUGCUACUUUUUCAAAAACAUUCCGGCCCAUCUGAACGCGGUUUUUAAUAUCUAAACCAGAAAAAUUACUGAAGCACUUCAUGAGAUUUUCCAAGAUGCAGAUGCUACUUUUUCAAAAUCAUUCCGGCCCAUCUGAACCCGUUUUUUAAUAUCUUCAACAUUUGACUGCAACCGAGCGACCUCAUUCUCCUGUGUCUGCUUCCUUAAUUUUGUUGAAUCAAGUUGUUCCUCUAACUCAUUUAUCU
This 368-nucleotide long non-coding RNA is filed under the name Citrus sinensis (sweet orange). RNAcentral's name for it is "long non-coding RNA (CSIN_LNC004444)". The record is from RNAcentral. Lineage: Eukaryota; Viridiplantae; Streptophyta; Magnoliopsida; Sapindales; Rutaceae.